GGAAUAUUGGACAAUGGGCGCAAGCCUGAUCCAGCAAUGCCGCGUGUGUGAAGAAGGCCUGCGGGUUGUAAAGCACUUUCAGUGGGGAGAAAGAAACUAUCACUAAUAUUGAUAGUGGAUGAUGUUACCCACAGAAGAAGCACCGGCUAAUUCUGUGCCAGCAGCCGCGGCAAUACAGAAGGUGCGAGCGUUAAUCGGAAUUACUGGGCGUAAAGGGUGCGUAGGUGGUUUUGUAAGUUAGGUGUGAAAGUCCCGGGCUUAACCUGGGGAUUGCGCCUAAUACUGCAAAGCUAGAGUACUGUAGAGGAAAGUGGAAUUUCCAGUGUAGCAGUGAAAUGCGUAGAUAUUGGAAGGAACAUCAGUGGCGAAGGCGACUUUCUGGACAGAUACUGACACUGAGGCACGAAAGCGUGGGGAGCAAACA
This 424-nucleotide ribosomal RNA is filed under the name uncultured bacterium. Its description in RNAcentral is "bacterial SSU rRNA". It matches the Rfam family "Bacterial small subunit ribosomal RNA", at positions 358 to 774 of the family's 1533-position model. The record is from RNAcentral.